RNAcentral lists this ribosomal RNA (492 nucleotides) under uncultured bacterium. RNAcentral's name for it is "partial 16S ribosomal RNA". It matches the Rfam family "Bacterial small subunit ribosomal RNA", at positions 29 to 507 of the family's 1533-position model. The record is from RNAcentral.
AGUGAACGCUGGCGGUAGGCCUAACACAUGCAAGUCGAACGGCAGCACAGUAAGAGCUUGCUCUUACGGGUGGCGAGUGACGGACGGGUGAGGAAUACAUCGGAAUCUACUUUUUCGUGGGGGAUAACGUAGGGAAACUUACGCUAAUACCGCAUACGACCUACGAGUGAAAGCAGGGGAUCUUCGGACCUUGCGCGAUUGAAUGAGCCGAUGUCGGAUUAGCUAGUUGGCGGGGUAAAGGCCCACCAAGGCGACGAUCCGUAGCUGGUCUGAGAGGAUGAUCAGCCACACUGGAACUGAGACACGGUCCAGACUCCUACGGGAGGCAGCAGUGGGGAAUAUUGGACAAUGGGCGCAAGCCUGAUCCAGCCAUACCGCGUGGGUGAAGAAGGCCUUCGGGUUGUAAAGCCCUUUUGUUGGGAAAGAAAAGCAGCAGGUUAAUACCCCGCUGUUCUGACGGUACCCAAAGAAUAAGCACCGGCUAACUUCGUG